Molecule: small nuclear RNA, 164 nt
Filed under: Haemaphysalis longicornis (longhorned tick)
Lineage: Eukaryota; Metazoa; Arthropoda; Arachnida; Ixodida; Ixodidae
Description: U1 spliceosomal RNA
Rfam family: U1 spliceosomal RNA
About the family: U1 is a small nuclear RNA (snRNA) component of the spliceosome (involved in pre-mRNA splicing). Its 5' end forms complementary base pairs with the 5' splice junction, thus defining the 5' donor site of an intron.
Source: Rfam by way of RNAcentral
AUACUUACCUGGUGCCGGGGUAUCCGUGAUCAUCCAGGCGGAGCCCCCAGGGCGAGGCGCUGCCAUUGCACUGCGGCGGUGUUGACCCCUGCCACUACCCCAAACUGGGGCAGAUGGGGCAUGCAAUUUUUGGUAGUGGGGGACUGCGUUCGCGCUAUCCCCCU